RNAcentral lists this small nuclear RNA (123 nucleotides) under Dermacentor silvarum. RNAcentral's name for it is "U5 spliceosomal RNA". It matches the Rfam family "U5 spliceosomal RNA". Rfam says of the family: U5 RNA is a component of both types of known spliceosome. The precise function of this molecule is unknown, though it is known that the 5' loop is required for splice site selection and p220 binding, and that both the 3' stem-loop and the Sm site are important for Sm protein binding and cap methylation. The record is from RNAcentral. Lineage: Eukaryota; Metazoa; Arthropoda; Arachnida; Ixodida; Ixodidae.
UCGCUCAGGUCUCUCCUCAGCAAGCACACGCAUUAACCUUUCGCCUUUUACUAAAGGCUACCGUGGGGAGGGACACUCCAAUGAGCCUAUAGGCCAAUUUAUGCAAGGCCCUACGUAGGCUGU